CCUACGGGUGGCUGCAGUGGGGAAUAUUGGGCAAUGGGCGCAAGCCUGACCCAGCCACGCCGCGUGAAGGAAGAAGGCUCUCGGGUUUUUAACUUCCUUUUUCAGGGACGAAGCACGUGACGGUACCUGCCGACUAAGCUACGGCUAACUACGUGCCAGCAGCCGCGGUAAUACGUAGGUGGCAAGCGUUAUCCGGAUUUACUGGGUGUAAAGGGCGUGUAGGCGGGACUGCAAGUCAGAUGUGAAAACCAUGGGCUCAACCUGGAGCCUGCAUUUGAUACUGUAGUUCUUGAGUACUGGAGAGGCAGACGGAAUGCCUGGUGUAGCGGGGAAAUGCGUAGAUAUUAGGAGGAACACCAGUGGCGAAGGCAGUCUACUGGACAGCAACUGACGCUGAGGCGCGAAAGCGUGGGGAGCAAACAGGAUUAGAUACCCGAGUAGUC
RNAcentral lists this ribosomal RNA (443 nucleotides) under uncultured bacterium. Its description in RNAcentral is "partial 16S ribosomal RNA". It matches the Rfam family "Bacterial small subunit ribosomal RNA", at positions 338 to 795 of the family's 1533-position model. The record is from RNAcentral.